GACGAACGCUGGCGGCGUGCUUAACACAUGCAAGUCGAACGGAAAGGCCCUGCUUUUGUGGGGUGCUCGAGUGGCGAACGGGUGAGUAACACGUGAGUAACCUGCCCUUGACUUUGGGAUACUUCAGGAAACUGGGGCUAAUACCGGGUAAGAGCUCCUUCCGCCUGGUGGGGGGUGGAAAGUUUUGGCGGUUGGGGAUGGACUUGCGGCUUAUCCGCUUGGUGGGGGGGGUGUGGCUUACCAAGGCUUUGACGGGUAGCCGGCCUGAGAGGGUGAACGGCCACAUUGGGACUGAGAUACGGACCAGACUCCUACGGGAGGCAGCAGUGGGGAAUAUUGCACAAUGGGCGGAAGCCUGAUGCAGCAACGCCGCGUGCGGGAUGACGGCCUUCGGGUUGUAAACCGCUUUCGCCUGUGACGAAGCGUGAGUGACGGUAAUGGGUAAAGAAGCACCGGCUAACUACGUG
RNAcentral lists this ribosomal RNA (467 nucleotides) under uncultured bacterium. RNAcentral's name for it is "partial 16S ribosomal RNA". It matches the Rfam family "Bacterial small subunit ribosomal RNA", at positions 28 to 507 of the family's 1533-position model. The record is from RNAcentral.